RNAcentral lists this ribosomal RNA (301 nucleotides) under uncultured bacterium. Its description in RNAcentral is "partial 16S ribosomal RNA". It matches the Rfam family "Bacterial small subunit ribosomal RNA", at positions 509 to 807 of the family's 1533-position model. The record is from RNAcentral.
CAGUCGCCACGGUAAUACGUAGGUGGCAAGCGUUGUCCGGAAUUAUUGGGCGUAAAGGGCUCGCAGGCGGUUUCUUAAGUCUGAUGUGAAAGCCCCCGGCUCAACCGGGGAGGGUCAUUGGAAACUGGGAAACUUGAGUGCAGAAGAGGAGAGUGGAAUUCCACGUGUAGCGGUGAAAUGCGUAGAGAUGUGGAGGAACGCCAGUGGCGAAGGCGACUCUCUGGUCUGUAACUGACGCUGAGGAGCGAAAGCGUGGGGAGCGAACAGGAUUAGAGACCCGCGUAGUCCCUGUCUCUUAUAC